CAGCAGCCGCGGGAAUACAGAGGGUGCGAGCGUUAAUCGGAUUUACUGGGCGUAAAGCGUGCGUAGGCGGCUUUUUAAGUCGGAUGUGAAAUCCCUGAGCUUAACUUAGGAAUUGCAUUCGAUACUGGGAAGCUAGAGUAUGGGAGAGGAUGGUAGAAUUCCAGGUGUAGCGGUGAAAUGCGUAGAGAUCUGGAGGAAUACCGAUGGCGAAGGCAGCCAUCUGGCCUAAUACUGACGCUGAGGUACGAAAGCAUGGGGAGCAAACAGGAUUAGAUAUCCCAGUAGUCCCUGUCUCUUAUAA
This 301-nucleotide ribosomal RNA is filed under the name uncultured bacterium. Its description in RNAcentral is "partial 16S ribosomal RNA". It matches the Rfam family "Bacterial small subunit ribosomal RNA", at positions 509 to 809 of the family's 1533-position model. The record is from RNAcentral.